AACGCGAAGAACCUUACCAGGUCUUGACAUCCCCAUGUAAGCACUAGAGAUAGUGCCCCUCUUCGGAGCAUGGGAGACAGGUGGUGCAUGGUUGUCGUCAGCUCGUGUCGUGAGAUGUUGGGUUAAGUCCCGCAACGAGCGCAACCCUUGAUCUUAGUUGCCAGCACUUCGGGUGGGCACUCUAAGAUGACUGCCGGUGACAAACCGGAGGAAGGUGGGGAUGACGUCAAAUCAUCAUGCCCCUUAUGACCUGGGCUACACACGUACUACAAUGGCCGGUACAACGGGAAGCGAAGCCGCGAGGCGGAGCGAAUCCUUAUAAGCCGGUCUCAGUUCGGAUUGCAGGCUGCAACUCGCCUGCAUGAAGUCGGAAUUGCUAGUAAUCGCGGAUCAGCAUGCCGCGGUGAAUACGUUCCCGGGCCUUGUA
This 427-nucleotide ribosomal RNA is filed under the name uncultured Bacillota bacterium. RNAcentral describes it as "bacterial SSU rRNA". It matches the Rfam family "Bacterial small subunit ribosomal RNA", at positions 958 to 1385 of the family's 1533-position model. Lineage: Bacteria; Bacillati; Bacillota. The record is from RNAcentral.